Molecule: long non-coding RNA, 3437 nt
Organism: Patella vulgata (common limpet)
Lineage: Eukaryota; Metazoa; Mollusca; Gastropoda; Patellidae
Exons: 7
Source: RefSeq, a predicted model, not a curated record
UAUUGUUGUUAGUUCCGCUUUGCACCAGUUCAAUUUCAUCUUGCAUCAGUAUCAGGGAAUAAUUCCAUUAAAUCUAUUAAAACAAAAGAACUGUUGUCUUCUAUGAAAUCGUAAAGACACCACUCAAAAUACCAAUUCUCCGCAAAGGUGCUACACAUACCUCAGGACCAGAGAGUGUUAAAUAUUCCAGUUUGAGUAUAUCAGAAUACGAGUGUAUAAGAAAAAUGGCGGUUAAUUUCCGUGUCUUGCUGUUAGUUUGUGCAGUAAUGAUCAAUGGUGAAGAAUUCAUCUGGACAUCUCCUAUAGAGGAUGGUUUGCUGCAGGUCAAGGAAGGAGAAGAUAUAUCGUUACUAUGGGAAUAUCAAGCAGACUCGUCGCCAAGCAUGGUUCUAAUUAAAACAGAGGAUGUAGUAAUCGGCAUCUGGGCUGAGAAGCAAAAUAAUUUCACACCAACAACUUAUUUUCAAGGGAGAGUCAUGUUCAACAGAAUUGAUAUCAAGCAAGAUUACUCAGGAUUAUACGGAGAAAGGGUCGAGUUGAAAUUGAUGAACGCCCGUAGAAAUGAUUUAAAUGUACUGUACACCUGUCAAAUCAUCCUUAAAAACUCGAUUAUUCAGCAGAAGGACAUCAGGGUAGAUUGCCCAGAUUCGUCAUAUGAUAGACCUGUGUAUGAAACAGUCCGACUCAACGGCUGUAUACCUGCCUCCAUUGUAUUUGGUGUGUUGAUCAUUGUUCUUUGUGUUUCUGUCGUCGUGUGUAUCUUCCUGAGAAAACCUAGAAGUAAGAAGGGUGGCCAAGGUUGAUUUAAUUGGUUGCUUUCAAAUAUCAUGACGAAGCCUAUAUUACAUCGCCUAAUUUUGUGUAAUAAUAAUGUCAUAGUGUGCAACAAACAUAUAUUAAUUAAUUAAGUCGGUACAGAAUGGCGGGACGUUAAACACCAUUUACUGUAUAUUGUAUUAUCUCUCUAGUUAGGUUAAUAUAUGGAAAAUACCCCUUCAACCCCCCAAAUAUUGCUACAAAAGGUUUCUCAACUGAAAUGGUGUAUUUACCCCGUCUCAAAAUUUUAGCUCAAAAUACCGAGUCGUUUCGACAUGAACAUCAAAACUGCUUAUCCGGGCACGUAACCCUUUUAAGAUUUCGGGUCAAUUUUUUCGUUUUCGAUGGGUGACCUGAUAAUCGAUUCCCGUUCCUUUUGAGGUUUAUACAGUGAAUGACCCAUGUGCUAUACUUGAUAACGAAAGGUAAAUUUCACCUACACAUUAUUCUUAUAAAAUAAAAGUCUGGUUUUAUCCAGACACUGCAUAAUACAGCUUGGGACACCGGUCUCCAUUUCCAGAUGAAGACUGACGGAUUUAAGUUGUUUGAAAACGUAUCACACAUAUUGAGUUAGUUGCUCGGCCCUAAUGUAGAGGAUUUUAAGGGAUUUUAAUACAAAAUUAGGCAGUUUUAUUCUCCAAAAUAUUAUCGGGAUUGACCCUUUAUGAUUGGUAAAAUGUGUUCAAAUCAUGUAUUAUCAUUUAUCUCGAGUAAAAAACAAAAUGACAAAAUCCUAUGUUAAUUUUUCUCAAUAUAUGUACGUUUUGGUUUUUUUAAAAUAUAUGCUAUUUUCUUUCUUAAAAUUAUAUUUUGAUUGUAUGAUUUUAAAAUAUAUGCUAUUUUCUUUCUUAAAAUUAUAUUUUGAUUGUAUGAUUUUCCUUUUUGUAAUGUUUAGAAAUGACGUUUAUAUCGUGUGUAUUGUUAUGCUGAGCGCCAUGGAAAACGCAUCACUUAGUUUUUCGUAUAACAAAAUGAUCCUGUAAACAUAUCUUAUUUAUUUUGCUUCUUAUUGUGAACAAUAUUCAAAUGGGAACACAUCAAUAACAACACAUUUGUACACUUAUGGAUGUUUAAUCUGUAAUCAACGGUACAAAGUCAGAGGGGUCAAAACCAAAAGUACGACACAGAUGUCAGUAGCGCGUGAGUCCUCCACGGGCUCUUACGCACGCUGUGCAGCGACGUCGCAUGGAAUUUACCAAUGUUUGAAAGAAGGCCUGGGGCAAAUUGUUCCAUUCUUGGACAAGAGCAGCUUCUAAAGCAGCAAUGGUGUACAUCUGUGGUCUCCGAUACAGACGGCGUCGAAUCUCAUUCCAGACAUGUUCUAUCGGUGCCAUGUCCGGAGACAUGGCUGGCCAGUCCAAGACAUUGAUGUUGUUAGCAGCCAGGUAGUCCAUACUAAACCGGGCGGUAUGCGGACGUGCAUUAUCCUGUGCUGAAGUUGUGGGUGCGCUCGAAACAUCGGAACAACAACUGGUUGCAAGACAUCAUCACGGUAGGCUACAGCAUUAACGCGACCCCUGCAAAUGUGUAGGGCGGUCCGGUGAUGAAAUGUGAAGCCUCCCCACACCAUUACACUUAUCCCCACCCCAUCGAUUCGUUUCGAAGACGCAGCAGUCUGCAAGACGUUCCCCAAAACGUCUCCACACACAUUGACGGCCACCAGCGUGAUAAAGAUGAAAGCGACUCUCAUCACUGAAGAGUACACUUUGCCAGUCUACUCUUAUCCAUGUCUGGUGUCCUUGAGCCCAUAUCAAACGCCGCUGACGGUGAUGAUCCCUGAGGAUAGCUCCAACAUAAGGUCGUCCUACUUCUCUUAGACGACGUCUUACGGUGUUGGCACUUAUUGGUCCUUGUCUUCCGACGACUGCUGCACCUGUUCGAGUCGCUGGGCGGAAUCUGACACGCAGAUGAGUGACCCGGGUGUAGCGGUCUUGAGCCUGGGUUGUAACGCGUUGUGGGCCAGGACGUUGACGGUCACGUGUUGAUCCAGUAACUCGAACACGUUCCACCAACCUUACAAUAGUGGACUGAUGACAAUUGAAGUGUUUGGCAAUAGCACGUGUAGACAUGCCAGCCUUGGACAUUCCCAUGGCUUCAUUCCGUUGAUUUUCAGUAAGUCUCGGCAUCUCUAGCUCGAUUCCUUCACACGUCCAACAACAAAUUACGACAGAUUGACGUUUCACAGUUCAUGUACUGUACAUUAAGUUGAAAACGUGCUUUUAAAGGGCUCACACACAAUGCUGCACGUGAAUAUUGGGUUUUUCAUGUGCAUCUCGUGCAUUCUAUUUUUUGUGCACACGGGCCGAUAUUUUUUGCGUUUGGGAGCAUUGUGUGAAAAAAUAGUUCAUAGUAUUGCAUAAAAUUAUACAUACAAAACCACCUGGUAAUAAAAUAUUUUGGAAAAAAAGUGAUGCGUUUUCCAUGGCGCUCAGUAUAUUAUCAUUUACAAUAUGUGAAGCCAGUAUUCAACCUCUGAGAAUUGUAUUAGUUUGUUGUUUAAUUAGUAAAUAACUUGUGGGUAGGAUAGGAAUGUGACAAAGUACUCAGCUGGUUUUUGAUAAUAUAUGAUAUUGACUUUUCAACUCUGUAUAAACUUCUGUGAUCUAAUUAAACAUGUAAUU